Stegodyphus dumicola is the source of this 556-nucleotide long non-coding RNA. The record is from RefSeq and is a predicted model, not a curated record. NCBI's taxonomy places the organism in Eukaryota, Metazoa, Arthropoda, Arachnida, Araneae, Eresidae.
GCUCGCUGUACUUCCACUCACUUGCGAAAUCGACGGCAACCCUGUUCGAAAAAGGGGCCGAACCAGCCGAACGCUGAGAUGCAAAGAAACUACGAAAUGCGGCGGACGCGUGGAGCAGUCAGCGUUGCCAGAUUAAAAAAGUGAUGAUUAUUGUUUACCACCGAAACUCUCCACACUUCACCUCUUAAGCAUCAACAAAACAAUAACAUAAAUAACUAUCGAACAGAAAGAGUGCAUUUACGAAAUAUCAUCCCUGGAAAUUUCAACCGGGUCUUCUUCAUGUCGAGAAGAAAGCAGUCAAAUCCUAAACCUCUGAAACAUUUUGACGAUAUUUGAAGUAGACUCCACUUAGCGAAAAACUGAAAAAAGCUCAAGAAGACAACAGAGAGAUCAUCACGUGAUUGAGGUGAGGAAAGAUAGAGAUACAAGCCAUAAUAGUCGGAGAAGCUGAGAACAUAAUUGGACCCUACUGGCUUUUCGCUGAUCUCUGUGGUUCUAAGGGGGAUGAAUCAUCGAAAGAAGAAAACAAGAUGAAUCUCCAGCAUUUUAUCUUUCG